GUGUGCGUGUGCGUGUGUGCGCGCGGGCAUUUUCAGAGUCUACAUUUUUCUCCGAGUUUGACUACUCCAAGACUGGCUAUCCGCCUGGGGCAAAAGGAUGCGAACCUUACAAAAGGUGGAGUCUGGGUCGGCCAAAAAAUGUUGAAAGUUUGACUUGCUCUCUCCUACAAGCGGAAGAAAGCAAAUAAAAUCAGGUUCUGGGCUGGAGAAAGCUUCAGAUAAACUAGAGGCAAGAAGGGGAAAAAGCUCUGCAGGCUUUUCUUCAACUUGGCGGCGGCUGCUGCUGCUGCAGCCCCAGCCCCUCCCGGCACUCGCGCCUGAGCUCCCCGGCCGCUGUGCGGUACCCUGAAAAGCCCAGGCCAUGUGGGAUCUCAAAGGUCAUCUCCUCUCACCACCUCCACCCACUGGCCAUGAAGAGAAUGGAUCUGAGAUAAACUGAAGCCUCAGAGAGACAGGCCAGUGGGGUGGUGAUGUCUUCUCAGAAGAUCCACUGCCCUGCCCUUGGUUUGACUCUCACGCUGUGUCCUUUGCCUUCUGUCUCCUGUGCUCUCAGAUGAGGAAGCUUGAGACACAUAGAGGUUAACGGGUGAAGGAUCUUGCCCAAAGUCACCUGGCCGGCAAGAGCUGAGUCAAAUUGCUACCCAGGCCUGAAAGAAACAGAGAGGUGUGGUAUCUGACCCCCGA
Molecule: long non-coding RNA, 684 nt
Organism: Balaenoptera acutorostrata (minke whale)
Lineage: Eukaryota; Metazoa; Chordata; Mammalia; Artiodactyla; Balaenopteridae
Exons: 4
Source: RefSeq, a predicted model, not a curated record